This 440-nucleotide ribosomal RNA is filed under the name uncultured bacterium. RNAcentral's name for it is "partial 16S ribosomal RNA". It matches the Rfam family "Bacterial small subunit ribosomal RNA", at positions 338 to 795 of the family's 1533-position model. The record is from RNAcentral.
CCUACGGGCGGCUGCAGUGGGGAAUAUUGGACAAUGGGCGAAAGCCUGAUCCAGCAAUGCCGCGUGAGUGAUGAAGGCCUUAGGGUUGUAAAGCUCUUUUACCAGGGAUGAUAAUGACAGUACCUGGAGAAUAAGCUCCGGCUAACUCCGUGCCAGCAGCCGCGGUAAUACGGAGGGAGCUAGCGUUGUUCGGAAUUACUGGGCGUAAAGCGCACGUAGGCGGUUUUUCAAGUCAGGGGUGAAAGCCCGGAGCUCAACUCCGGAAUUGCCCUUGAAACUGGAUAACUAGAAUCUUGGAGAGGUCAGUGGAAUUCCGAGUGUAGAGGUGAAAUUCGUAGAUAUUCGGAAGAACACCAGUGGCGAAGGCGACUGACUGGACAAGUAUUGACGCUGAGGUGCGAAAGCGUGGGGAGCAAACAGGAUUAGAUACCCCUGUAGUC